AUUGAACGCUGGCGGCAUGCCUUACACAUGCAAGUCGAACGGUAACGGGCCUUCGGGUGCCGACGAGUGGCGAACGGGUGAGUAAUACAUCGGAACGUGCCCGAUCGUGGGGGAUAACGAGGCGAAAGCUUUGCUAAUACCGCAUACGAUCUACGGAUGAAAGCAGGGGACCGCAAGGCCUUGCGCGGACGGAGCGGCCGAUGGCAGAUUAGGUAGUUGGUGGGAUAAAAGCUUACCAAGCCGACGAUCUGUAACUGGUCUGAGAGGAUGAUCAGCCACACUGGGACUGAGACACGGCCCAGACUCCUACGGGAGGCAGCAGUGGGGAAUUUUGGACAAUGGGCGCAAGCCUGAUCCAGCCAUGCCGCGUGCAGGAUGAAGGCCUUCGGGUUGUAAACUGCUUUUGUACGGAACGAAAAGCCUUCUUUUAAUACAGGAGGGUCAUGACGGUACCGUAAGAAUAAGCACCGGCUAACUACGUG
RNAcentral lists this ribosomal RNA (482 nucleotides) under uncultured bacterium. Its description in RNAcentral is "partial 16S ribosomal RNA". It matches the Rfam family "Bacterial small subunit ribosomal RNA", at positions 30 to 507 of the family's 1533-position model. The record is from RNAcentral.